Molecule: non-coding RNA, 299 nt
Organism: Pelobates cultripes (western spadefoot toad)
Lineage: Eukaryota; Metazoa; Chordata; Amphibia; Anura; Pelobatidae
Source: the annotation of a GenBank genome assembly
CCAGGGAGCUGAAGGUGCCGUCCUUCCUCCCCAGCGGCAGUGUGUGUCCUUAAGAGAGGAAACAGUUGGUCCCUCUCCCCAGCAGUCCAGUGAAUUACAGGGAGACAAAGUUUCUGUCUUUCCUCCCCAGCGGCAGUAUGAGUUCUUGGGAGAGGAGACAGUCGGUCCCUCUCCCCAGCAGUCAAGCGAGUCCCAGGGAGCCGAAGGUGCCAUCCUUCCUCCCCAGCAGCAGUGUGUCCGGCAGGGAGCAGAGACAAUCGGUCUCGCUCCCCAGCAGCGGGACAAUAUAUUGAAAGGGG